CCUCUGUUUGUUUGUCUGUUAUUCUCAGCGCAAUCGGAAGAGAACAUCGGAAAAUGGUAUUACGGUAGUCGUGCAGAAUCGACAGACUGGUCUGGUGAAGCAGUGCCACUGCCAACUUUAUUCAAUGGUUCGCCGACAGAGGCCCAACCAAAGAGUUCCAAGUCAGGAUCAAAACCAUCUUUGAUGGAAUUGGCUCUCUACAAUAUGGCUGCAAUGUUGGCUGGUCUUGCUGCUGGCUAUGAUGUUAGGUUAUCAAAUGUCACACCACUUCAUCCCAAGCUACAGCCCAGCUGGAGGUAAGAUCUCGCAAAAUCUUCUUUCUAUAGGUACAACGAGGUAGGUAAGCACCAAGAGGCUCACCCAAGAAGUAGCAAAAAUGCUCUUACAACAUUCUU
Molecule: long non-coding RNA, 395 nt
Filed under: Bemisia tabaci
Lineage: Eukaryota; Metazoa; Arthropoda; Insecta; Hemiptera; Aleyrodidae
Description: lncRNA ENSSSA2NGG003099
Source: RNAcentral